Molecule: ribosomal RNA, 465 nt
Filed under: Vreelandella stevensii
Lineage: Bacteria; Pseudomonadati; Pseudomonadota; Gammaproteobacteria; Oceanospirillales; Halomonadaceae
Description: partial 16S ribosomal RNA
Rfam family: Bacterial small subunit ribosomal RNA
Source: RNAcentral
CCUACGGGGGGCAGCAGUGGGGAAUAUUGGACAAUGGGGGCAACCCUGAUCCAGCCAUGCCGCGUGUGUGAAGAAGGCCCUCGGGUUGUAAAGCACUUUCAGUGAGGAAGAACGCCUGGUGGUUAAUACCCAUCAGGAAAGACAUCACUCACAGAAGAAGCACCGGCUAACUCCGUGCCAGCAGCCGCGGUAAUACGGAGGGUGCGAGCGUUAAUCGGAAUUACUGGGCGUAAAGCGCGCGUAGGUGGCUUGAUAAGCCGGUUGUGAAAGCCCCGGGCUCAACCUGGGAACGGCAUCCGGAACUGUCAAGCUAGAGUGCAGGAGAGGAAGGUAGAAUUCCCGGUGUAGCGGUGAAAUGCGUAGAGAUCGGGAGGAAUACCAGUGGCGAAGGCGACCUUCUGGACUGAAACUGACACUGAGGUGCGAAAGCGUGGGUAGCAAACAGGAUUAGAUACCCGAGUAGUC